CCUACGGGAGGCAGCAGUAGGGAAUUUUCCGCAAUGGGCGAAAGCCUGACGGAGCAAUACCGCGUGAGGGAUGACGGCCUGUGGGUUGUAAACCUCUUUUCUCAAGGAAGAAGUUCUGACGGUACUUGAGGAAUAAGCAUCGGCUAACUCUGUGCCAGCAGCCGCGGUAAUACAGAGGAUGCAAGCGUUAUCCGGAAUCACUGGGCAUAAAGCGUCUGUAGGUUGUUUAGUAAGUCUGCUGUUAAAGACUGGGGCUUAACCCCAGAAAAGCAGUGGAAACUGCUAGACUCGAGUGUGGUAGAGGUAGAGGGAAUUCCUAGUGUAGCGGUGAAAUGCGUAGAUAUUAGGAAGAACACCAACGGCGAAGGCACUCUACUGGGCCAUAACUGACACUGAGAGACGACAGCUAGGGGAGCAAACGGGAUUAGAUACCCCGGUAGUCCUAGCCGUAAACGAUGGAUACUAGAUGUUGCACGUAUUAACCCGUGCAGUAUCGUAGCUAAGGCGUUAAGUAUCCCGCCUGGGAAUCGCUCGCAAAGAGAGAACGACAAUAAGUAAGUUAGUUACGGCGUGAGACGUGCCGACGGCGACGACGAGGGAGGAGG
RNAcentral lists this ribosomal RNA (605 nucleotides) under uncultured bacterium. RNAcentral's name for it is "bacterial SSU rRNA". The stretch from base 1 to 521 matches the Rfam family "Bacterial small subunit ribosomal RNA", at positions 338 to 873 of the family's 1533-position model. The record is from RNAcentral.